AGGAGUUGGGGUCUAGGAAGGUUCAGUUUCUUGAUAUUCUCUGGACAUCCAUUUCCCUGUAAUAAACUUGAAGGACUUGUAAUUAGUCAAACCUUUAGUCUGAGCCCAGUGUGAGGCCACCUGGUCUUUAACAAUUUGUAACUUCUAUUUGCAUUAUGAAGCUCAGGGAUACAAAGGUGAAAUAAACAGAUAUUUACAUAUGAAUGUAACUACUGAAACAGGGAAAGGGGAUGAGUGCUUUUGGUUUUAAACCCAUAUAUGCUGGCUUCAAUGUAGAGUUAACAGAUAUCAGGGCCAAUAUUAAUCAAAAGCCUAUCACAAGAAGACUAAUUAAUUUAUUCCUCCAGUUCUUGGGGUGCUGUUUCCACAUAGCCUAGCCUUUUGCCUACUUCAAGGAAUUGACCUCACAUGGAGACUGCUGCUUCAUCCACGUUCACCCUUUCUUUUUGGGUGUAGCAUCCAUCUUACAGUCAAUGUGGAAGUAUAAAUUCUGAGCCAGUGACCCCAACAUGGGACAAUUCAUAAGGGCCUUUUGAGAUCCCUGUAGGUUCAGAAAAGAUUUCUGUAGUACUUGCGUUGCAGUUCAACUUCUCCUGAGUCUUUUCUUUCUCCCUAGGUGUUAAUUUAAGAUCAAUUUCUGGUAAAUACCAGGAUUCUAAUCUCCAUCUCAGUAUCUGAAUCAUGGAUAUCUCAAUCUAAAGCAAGCUUUUCCUUCACUCCUGCCAGUGUUAUUUGAAGGCUUGGAGGAGAAAUGAUUAUCUAAAUGAUAUCCUAGCUAAUAUUUAUUAUCAAAACAAUAAUAUUUAAUAUUCAUGGUUGUAUAGUUCAUCUAUUUUGCAAUAGAUAAAGAUAUAUUGAAGGGGAAAUCAGUGUCCUUAAGCAGUGCUAAUAUUUGUUAGAGUGUCUUUUAAAAUAUCAACAGUACACGGAUUAUGCAGCAUAUCUAUAAUAUCUAAACAAAUAAUUUAUUUGAAAAUUUUAAUUGCUCUUUAUAUUCAUUGGAGGAAGUAAUAGGCAAAAUACCCAUCAGUAUUUAAAUGCCAAAUAAUAGAAUUAGACCUAAGCUCAUUUCUACUCAAAGUCUUUUCAAUGUAAUGACAUGAUUUUUAAAGUUUAUUACUUUUGGAAUUUUUAAGAAUUAUGAGAAUCGUGGAAAGCCCAUACUUAGUUUUGCAACUGGAUAGGAUUGCACCUCCGUUAGUGGAUAUGUAUAUAUAUAUAUAUAUGUAAGUUGACUUUAAUUUUUAAUGAGGUAACCAUGAGUAUAAAAUUGAGGCAUAGAUAUAGCAGCACUAAUUCUCUGAAAAUGGCAUCUUUAUAUAACUUUAUAUCCACUGUAUCUGACACCAUGGAUCAAGUCAUGGUUCAGUAACAAAAUGCCUCAGUGUCAGAAGACUUUACAGUAACGCACUCACAUUGCAUCAUUGCUCAGAGGUGAUUCUGCUCCAUGUUCUCUUCACUCCAGAACCCAGGCUAAAAUAGGCAAUCACUCUCUGGGACUUUGCCAAGCUAAAGGCAAAGGGAAAACAUGCCUAUCUGCAAAACAUAUAAUGGCCCUCGAAGAUUCUACUUAGAAAUGCAUAUGUUACUUCUGUUCACAUAUAUUGACAAAAAUGUAAAGCCAAAGCUUUACAAUAGUAGAGGUGAAUUGGACAAUUUUCACAUAGUCUUGGGCUCUUUAAGGAAAAGCAGGAACAUUUUAAACAACAUACCAUAUACCACACCACAGUAGAAUACUAGAGAGUCUCAGCAAUAAACAAUAAGUUUCUCUAUUCAAUUGCUAAAAAUAUUUGCAACAAAUUUAUCAGCUUCAAAAUGUCAGAGUGGGCCUUGCUCCCUGUGUGUUUUUACAAGCAUGUGAACAUAUGUGUGCAAGUAUGAGAGACAGAGAGAUGUUAUUUGGUUUCUUUCAGACUUAACCCUUCCAAUUUUAUUUGUGCUAUUUAUUUAAAUAGACACCAGUAAAUAUUAUGAUUCAUAUAAAUACUACUAGGUUUGCAUUUAAUUUCAUUUACUAACUUCUUCAUAGUGAUGUGUUACUUUUCCAUAUGGAAAAUAAGAGAAAG
RNAcentral lists this long non-coding RNA (2066 nucleotides) under Equus caballus (horse). RNAcentral's name for it is "lncRNA (ENSECAG00000057365.1)". The record is from RNAcentral. Lineage: Eukaryota; Metazoa; Chordata; Mammalia; Perissodactyla; Equidae.